GGUGAGUAAUGCAUAGGAAUCUGCCCGAUAGUGGGGGAUAACCUGGGGAAACCCAGGCUAAUACCGCAUACGUCCUACGGGAGAAAGGGGGCUCCGGCUCCCGCUAUGGGAUGAGCCUAUGUCGGAUUAGCUAGUUGGUGAGGUAACGGCUCACCAAGGCCACGAUCCGUAGCUGGUCUGAGAGGAUGAUCACCACAUCGGGACUGAGACACGGCCCGAACUCCUACGGGAGGCAGCAGUGGGGAAUAUUGGACAAUGGGGGAAACCCUGAUCCAGCCAUGCCGCGUGUGUGAAGAAGGCCCUCGGGUUGUAAAGCACUUUCAGCGAGGAAGAACGCCUAGCGGUUAAUACCCGCUAGGAAAGACAUCACUCGCAGAAGAAGCACCGGCUAACUCCGUGCCAGCAGCCGCGGUAAUACGGAGGGUGCAAGCGUUAAUCGGGAAUUACUGGGCGUAAAGCGCGCGUAGGUGGGCUUGAUAAGCCGGUUGUGAAAGCCCCGG
RNAcentral lists this ribosomal RNA (500 nucleotides) under Vreelandella aquamarina. RNAcentral's name for it is "bacterial SSU rRNA". It matches the Rfam family "Bacterial small subunit ribosomal RNA", at positions 105 to 606 of the family's 1533-position model. Lineage: Bacteria; Pseudomonadati; Pseudomonadota; Gammaproteobacteria; Oceanospirillales; Halomonadaceae. The record is from RNAcentral.